CCCGGGCCUUGUACACACCGCCCGUCACACCAUGGGAGUGGGUUGCACCAGAAGUAGAUAGCUUAACCUUCGGGAGGGCGUUUACCACGGUGUGAUUCAUGACUGGGGUGAAGUCGUAACAAGGUAACCCUAGGGGAACCUGGGGUUGGAUCACCUCCUUACCUUAA
This 167-nucleotide ribosomal RNA is filed under the name Aeromonas salmonicida subsp. salmonicida. RNAcentral's name for it is "partial 16S ribosomal RNA". It matches the Rfam family "Bacterial small subunit ribosomal RNA", at positions 1373 to 1533 of the family's 1533-position model. The record is from RNAcentral. Lineage: Bacteria; Pseudomonadati; Pseudomonadota; Gammaproteobacteria; Aeromonadales; Aeromonadaceae.